AGAACGAACGCUGGCGGCGUGGAUAAGACAUGCAAGUCGAACGGGAUCAUCUUGUAGCAAUACCGGGUGAUUCAGUGGCGAACGGGUGCGUAACACGUGGAUUACAUUCCGGGAAGUGGGGGAUAGCCCAGGGAAACUUGGAUUAAUACCUCAUGUGGUCGCAAGACUAAAGGCGCAAGCCGCUUCCUGAUUGGUCCGCGGCCUAUCAGCUAGUUGGCGGGGUAAUGGCCCACCAAGGCUACGACGGGUAGCUGGUCUUAGAGGACGACCAGCCACACUGGAACUGAGACACGGUCCAGACACCUACGGGUGGCAGCAGUCGAGAAUCUUUCACAAUGGGGGAAACCCUGAUGGAGCGACGCCGCGUGGAGGAUAAGGUCUUCGGAUUGUAAACUCCUGUCAUGCGAGAACAAAGCCUUAUGGGUGUGAUAGUAUCGCAAGAGGAAGAGACGGCUAACUCUGUGCCAGCAGCCGC
This 475-nucleotide ribosomal RNA is filed under the name uncultured bacterium. Its description in RNAcentral is "SSU rRNA". It matches the Rfam family "Bacterial small subunit ribosomal RNA", at positions 26 to 518 of the family's 1533-position model. The record is from RNAcentral.